GCGCGAGGGAGCAGAGCAGAGAGAUCACAGCUCCCUCGCCACGUCUGACAGGAACUCAGCCGACGAUGGGGCGGGGGGUCCAUGAGGUAGCCAGCAGGCCACCUCAUGGCCCCCCCCCCCAUGACAGGGGGCGGGAUCUACGCGGCUCACGGUCGCAAGGGCUGUGGCCGGGCCCCCUGCAGUGAGGGGCCGCUCGCAGCUGCGACCGUGGUAGGUAUGCCACUGGUUUCAAACCCCAAAUACUCUGUGUCUGAGAGAUAAUUGCGUGAGAAAAACUCUUUAAUUAUCUCUCAGGUACAGAAGAAUCUACAAUAAUUCCAAACACCCCCAAAACACAUUUUAAUAUGUCAUUGUUGCACUAUAUUACAUUUUAUGUCAUUUGUGUAAUGCAUAUAUGAACUGGCAGCCUGGUAGAGGUGAUAUUGUCAAUUCCAAAAAGGGUUAAUUGGAUUGUGUGAGAGAUCAGAGCUUACAGCCCAAAUUCCUCUUUGAAGCUGUGACCCCCCCUCAGCAAGCCUUGUGUUUCAGUAUCCUAUCCAAAAGAGACAUUAAAAGGACACUAUAGGCACUAAACAACUUUAGCUUAAUGAAGUAGUUUUGGUGUGUAGAUCAUAUCCCUGCAGUCUCUUUGCUCAAUUGUCUACUAUUUAGCAGUUAAAUCACUUUGUUUAUGCAGCCCUAAUCACACCUCCCAGUAUGUGACUUACACAGCCUUCCUAAACACGUCCUGUAGGAAGUCAUCUAAUGUUUAUACUUCCUUUAUUGUAAAUUAUGUUUAAUUUAUAAUUUCACAUCUCCUGCUCUGUUAAUGGCUUUCUAGAUCCUGCCGGAGCCUCCUGUAUGUAAUUUAAGUUCAAUUUACAGAGCAGGAGAAAAACAUGUUUAAAGUAAGUUACAUCUGAUUGAAAAUGAAACCAUUUUGUUUACAUGCAGGCUCUUUCAGUCACAGCCUUGGGAGGUGCGGCUAGGGCUGCAUAAAUUGAAACAAGUGAUUUAACUCUUAAAUGGCAGUAGAUAGAGCAGUGAAACUUCAGAGGCAUGAUCUAUACACACAGACUGCUUCAUUAAGCUAUAGUUGUUUUCGUGACUAUAGUGUCCCUUUAGUACCUAUCCACAGAUUAAUACUCAAGCCUCAUUUUGAUCAUGUUUAGAAUGGGACAAGCACAGUCUUACAAAUAAGUAGUAGUUCUGCCAUAGACAGUCUGGGUGCAGGCAUGAGGCUCCUGGAUCUCCUCCUGACAGUGAUUAUAGCUCCUGUAGGAGCAGAUGAGGAGAUCCCCAGCAUGGGGACCUGAAAACAAUAAGCAGGCAAGCGAGUAGGCACAUGUGGGCAUGGUACUCAGUGACAGCGUUCCGUCACAAGGGGACUGUGUUAAGUAUUUGUUACCUUGGAAAGAAACUUUUCUCUUUGGAAUCUAGGAAAUGUUUUCACAGACAUGUAAUCUAAUUAAUUUAAUGAUCUACAUUUUGAAUCAGAUAAUCUUUCCAGUGAUUUAGAAUGUAUUUAAAUAAAGCUUUAUAUUCAGUUGGAGUAUGUGUUAUUAAUUUUAAACUAUCAAACAUGUAACAAGUACUUCCUUACAUGUCUUCAUUCCAUGGGGAGGGAACGUUCCAACAUCAGUUAUACUUUUCCCAUUUAGUUCUUAUUCAUGAAGCAUUGGAGUUGUAUU
Pelobates cultripes (western spadefoot toad) is the source of this 1670-nucleotide non-coding RNA. NCBI's taxonomy places the organism in Eukaryota, Metazoa, Chordata, Amphibia, Anura, Pelobatidae. The record is from the annotation of a GenBank genome assembly.